RNAcentral lists this ribosomal RNA (253 nucleotides) under uncultured bacterium. RNAcentral describes it as "partial 16S ribosomal RNA". It matches the Rfam family "Bacterial small subunit ribosomal RNA", at positions 524 to 776 of the family's 1533-position model. The record is from RNAcentral.
UACGUAGGGUGCAAGCGUUAUCCGGAAUUAUUGGGCGUAAAGAGCUCGUAGGCGGUUUGUCGCGUCUGCCGUGAAAGUCCGGGGCUUAACCCCGGAUCUGCGGUGGGUACGGGCAGACUAGAGUGCAGUAGGGGAGACUGGAAUUCCUGGUGUAGCGGUGAAAUGCGCAGAUAUUCGGAAGAACACCGAUGGCGAAGGCAGGUCUCUGGGCAUUAACUGACGCUGAGGAGCGAAAGCAUGGGGAGCGAACAGG